RNAcentral lists this ribosomal RNA (414 nucleotides) under Triticum aestivum (bread wheat). RNAcentral's name for it is "partial small subunit ribosomal RNA". The record is from RNAcentral. Lineage: Eukaryota; Viridiplantae; Streptophyta; Magnoliopsida; Poales; Poaceae.
AUGCCAGGAUCACAAGCCGACGAGAUUGACUGGGAGAACUUAUCGAACAAGGAGCUUCAUGAUAAGUUUCAGCAAAUGAUGACUGAACAGGUGCAAGAUGUGCUGAACAAUUUUGAAGAGGCCAUGGAGAAGAUUACUGGCCUUAAGAAGACGUUCGAAACAAAGCUCGAUAACAGAUUUAAUGAACUGCUUGCGCGUCUUCCACCACCGGCUGCACCUGUCGCACCUCUGCAACAACAACAACUACGCCCCCUUCCGAAUCAGUAUGGACGAGCACAGCGUGUUCCUAUUGAGCCAGGACAAAAUUCUGGUGCCGCUGCUACUGCUGUUGGUGCUUCUUUGGCUCCUGCUACUGCCGCUGCUGGUACCCAGGAGGAUGAUGAUUAUGUGGGAGAUUAUGAGGAUGAGGUUUGA